GAUGAACGCUGGCGGCGUGCCUAAUACAUGCAAGUCGAGCGAACGGACGAGAAGCUUGCUUCUCUGAUGUUAGCGGCGGACGGGUGAGUAACACGUGGAUAACCUACCUAUAAGACUGGGAUAACUUCGGGAAACCGGAGCUAAUACCGGAUAAUAUUUUGAACCGCAUGGUCCAAAAGUGAAAGACGGUCUUGCUGUCACUUAUAGAUGGAUCCGCGCUGCAUUAGCUAGUUGGUAAGGUAACGGCUUACCAAGGCAACGAUGCAUAGCCGACCUGAGAGGGUGAUCGGCCACACUGGAACUGAGACACGGUCCAGACUCCUACGGGAGGCAGCAGUAGGGAAUCUUCCGCAAUGGGCGAAAGCCUGACGGAGCAACGCCGCGUGAGUGAUGAAGGUCUUCGGAUCGGAAAACUCUGUUAUUAGGGAAGAACAUAUGUGUAAGUAACUGUGCACAUCUUGACGGUACCUAAUCAGAAAGCCACGGCUAACUACGUG
RNAcentral lists this ribosomal RNA (497 nucleotides) under uncultured bacterium. RNAcentral's name for it is "partial 16S ribosomal RNA". It matches the Rfam family "Bacterial small subunit ribosomal RNA", at positions 28 to 507 of the family's 1533-position model. The record is from RNAcentral.